GAUGAACGCUGGCGGCGUGCUUAACACAUGCAAGUCGAACGGAAAGGCUCCUGCUUGCAGGGGUACUCGAGUGGCGAACGGGUGAGUAACACGUGGGUGAUCUGCCCUGCACUUCGGGAUAAGCCUGGGAAACUGGGUCUAAUACCGGAUAGGACGAUGGUUUGGAUGCCAUUGUGGAAAGUUUUUCGGUGUGGGAUGAGCUCGCGGCCUAUCAGCUUGUUGGUGGGGUAAUGGCCUACCAAGGCGUCGACGGGUAGCCGGCCUGAGAGGGUGUACGGCCACAAUGGGACUGAGAUACGGCCCAGACUCCUACGGGAGGCAGCAGUGGGGAAUAUUGCACAAUGGGCGCAAGCCUGAUGCAGCGACGCCGCGUGGGGGAUGACGGCCUUCGGGUUGUAAACUCCUUUCGCUAGGGACGAAGCGCAAGUGACGGUACCUGGAGAAGAAGCACCGGCUAACUACGUG
Molecule: ribosomal RNA, 465 nt
Filed under: uncultured bacterium
Lineage: Bacteria
Description: partial 16S ribosomal RNA
Rfam family: Bacterial small subunit ribosomal RNA
Source: RNAcentral